This 713-nucleotide long non-coding RNA is filed under the name Homo sapiens (human). RNAcentral's name for it is "non-protein coding lnc-PDLIM1-1:4". The record is from RNAcentral. Lineage: Eukaryota; Metazoa; Chordata; Mammalia; Primates; Hominidae.
CCGGCAUCCCACGCCGAGGGUGGUGGUGGCAGGCUUUCCAGAAAGGCAGCACACCAGGCUCAGCUCUGCUGGCGAGCAGGAGGCGACGGCAGAGGAAACUUCAACCCGAUGAACUUCCUGGUUGCGGGGACAUUUGCCUCCUCCUGCCACUCACCACCUCUGCUCUGGUCCCUCCCUCCAAGAAUCCUCAUAGCGUCCUCUCUCCCCACUCUCUCCCAUCCCGCGUCUCCCAUAUUUGCCCCAGCUUGGCUCAGGGCCACAGUUCUGCACUCUUCAGCCGGCGGCGCCACCAGCAGUUGUUUCUACGCGGGAAAUAGGGCAACAGCAUCCCAGCACAGCUGAGUGCCCAAGGAUGGUCAGCCGGGUAGGGCAAGAAGCUUCUUUCAGGGAUUCUGAUCUCACGAAACAAGAGUAAUGAUGGCACUUCACUCAGAGGUUUGUCCUGAGGCUUAAAUGAGGCAACAUGGACACAGCAUUUUAGCACAAGGCCAGAUGUGAUGGUGCUGAUGUUUAAGAAGAAAGUCCUUAUUAGGAGGAUGCUGCUGAAAUAUUUAAGGACAAAGUGUCAUAAUGUCUGCAUUUACUCCCAAAUGUCUCAUCAAAAAUGUGCAAAUAUGAAGUAAAUGGGGCAAAAUCUUAAUAAGAAGUGAAUGUAGGUGAGUGCUACUAUUUAACAUUUUUGGAGACUCAAAAAUUUGCAAAAUUAAAAAUUG